This 255-nucleotide ribosomal RNA is filed under the name uncultured bacterium. Its description in RNAcentral is "partial small subunit ribosomal RNA". It matches the Rfam family "Bacterial small subunit ribosomal RNA", at positions 26 to 285 of the family's 1533-position model. The record is from RNAcentral.
AGGACGAACGCUGGCGGCGUGCUUAACACAUGCAAGUCGAGCGGAAAGGCCCUUCGGGGUACUCGAGCGGCGAACGGGUGAGUAACACGUGGGUAACCUGCCCCUUGCUCUGGGAUAACUCCGGGAAACCGGGGCUAAUACCGGAUAUGACACUCGCAGGCAUCUGCUGGGUGUGGAAAGUUUUUCGGCGAGGGAUGGGCCCGCGGCCUAUCAGCUUGUUGGUGGGGUGAUGGCCUACCAAGGCAGUGACGGGUA